GGGGUUAUAGCUCAGUGGUAGAGCAUUCGAGUGCAAAUCGAGAGGUCCCCGAUUCAAACCCGGGCGUCCUUUUCUUCA
This 78-nucleotide transfer RNA is filed under the name Trichonephila inaurata madagascariensis. Its description in RNAcentral is "tRNA-Cys". It matches the Rfam family "tRNA". From Rfam's summary of the family: Transfer RNA (tRNA) molecules are approximately 80 nucleotides in length. Lineage: Eukaryota; Metazoa; Arthropoda; Arachnida; Araneae; Nephilidae. The record is from RNAcentral.